GCUGAGUAUGGUGGCGCACACCUGUAAUCCCUGUGGCCUGGGAGGCCGAGGCAGGAGGAUCACAAGUUCAAAGCCAGCCUCAGCAAAAGUGAGGUGCUAAGCAACUCAACUCAGUGAGACCUUGUCUCUA
This 130-nucleotide small RNA is filed under the name Marmota monax (woodchuck). The record is from RNAcentral. Lineage: Eukaryota; Metazoa; Chordata; Mammalia; Rodentia; Sciuridae.